Molecule: small nucleolar RNA, 112 nt
Filed under: Arabidopsis thaliana (thale cress)
Lineage: Eukaryota; Viridiplantae; Streptophyta; Magnoliopsida; Brassicales; Brassicaceae
Description: Plant small nucleolar RNA R71
Rfam family: Plant small nucleolar RNA R71
About the family: R71 is a member of the C/D box family of snoRNAs containing the C (UGAUGA) and D (CUGA) box motifs. Multiple nearly identical copies of this snoRNA have been identified in Arabidopsis, and it is thought to function as a 2'-O-ribose methylation guide for 18S ribosomal RNA.
Source: Rfam by way of RNAcentral
AAACCGUGAUAGGGGCACUGAGUGAUGUAGCUUUUAAACCUUUCCCAAGCUCCUCUAUAGAGUGUGCUCAAUAAUGAAGCUGUGUGAAACCUGAGAUCUCGUUCUUCAAUCU